GGAAGUUAAGAAACUGUUUCUUAACUUUUAACUAAUAAAGCUAAGAACCGGUUCUUAAAAAAAGACUUUAAGAACCGGUUCUUAAAAAAGGACUUUAAGAACCGGUUCUUAUCUUUUUUAGGUAAAAGUUAAGAAACAGUUUCUUAACUUCC
Molecule: microRNA precursor, 152 nt
Organism: Brassica oleracea var. oleracea
Lineage: Eukaryota; Viridiplantae; Streptophyta; Magnoliopsida; Brassicales; Brassicaceae
Rfam family: MIR9563 microRNA precursor family
Source: Rfam